UUUAAAUGAGUAGUUAUUGUUGCAAACUCCAUUAGAAAUUUGAAUUGAGAUCAGUUUUGGAAAAAGGGGAAAGGGGGGGGGGGUAAAUUUUUCUCAUUUCAGAUUUCAUAAAUAAAAAGAAAAUUUCUUCAAACAUUUUUUUGAGAGGAUUAAUAUUCAACAGCAUAGUGAAUUGCUCAAAGGCAAAAAAAAUAUUUUAAGUCUCAUUAGACCACAUUCAUUCUGUGUCAGAAACCUAUGCUGUGUCAACUAUUUAAUCACAAUCCAAAUUUAGAGCUGAAUCCAGCUUGAAUGUUGUGUCCAUACUUGCCCCAACCGUUCAGGGUUCAACCUCUGCGGUCGUAUAAAGCUGCGCCCUGCAGAGCAUCUGGUUA
This 374-nucleotide long non-coding RNA is filed under the name Mytilus galloprovincialis (Mediterranean mussel). Lineage: Eukaryota; Metazoa; Mollusca; Bivalvia; Mytilida; Mytilidae. The record is from RNAcentral.